RNAcentral lists this ribosomal RNA (644 nucleotides) under uncultured fungus. Its description in RNAcentral is "eukaryotic LSU rRNA". The stretch from base 172 to 325 matches the Rfam family "5.8S ribosomal RNA". The record is from RNAcentral. Lineage: Eukaryota; Fungi.
UCCGUAGGUGAACCUGCGGAAGGAUCAUUAGUGAAUAACCUGGGACCCUGUCCCAAACCAUCUCACAUCUACACACCUCUGUGCACCGUUGGACGGGCUUGAUCCUCAAGUCAUGUCCUUUUAAUAUAUAAACACUUGUAUCAGUAAGGAAAGUCAAAUGGAAUAAAAUAAAACUUUCAACAACGGAUCUCUUGGCUCUCACAUCGAUGAAGAACGCAGCGAAAUGCGAUAAGUAAUGUGAAUUGCAGAAUUCAGUGAAUCAUCGAAUCUUUGAACGCAACUUGCGCUCCUUGGCAUUCCGAGGAGCAUGCCUGUUUGAGUGUUAUGAAACUAUCAAGCUACAAAUGUUCUUGUUAGCAUUUGUUGGUUUGGACAUUGGAUGCUUUGCUGGACAAUAUUGUACAGCUCAUCCGAAAUUUAUUAGCUGGUCUAAAUACCUUGGACUAUAUCCACUUGGCGUGAUAAGUAUCACCCGCUGAGGACUUGUUCAUUGGAGGUUGACUGCUUCUAGUAACCCAAUUAUAUUUGAAUCAUCUGACCUCAAAUCAGGGGGUAGGGGACUACCCGGCUGGAACUUAAGGCAUAUCAAUAAGGCGGGGAGGGGAAGGUCGGACUGGCCAAGGGGCACACAGGGGGGGGGGAUA